UUGGUGGGGUGAUGGCCUACCAAGGCGACGACGGGUAGCCGGCCUGAGAGGGUGUCCGGCCACACUGGGGCUGAGAUACGGCCCAGACUCCUACGGGAGGCAGCAGUGGGGAAUAUUGCACAAUGGGCGCAAGCCUGAUGCAGCGACGCCGCGUGGGGGAUGACGGCCUUCGGGUUGUAAACCUCUUUCACCAUCGGCGAAGCCAGAUGCUUUUGUGUCCGGUGACGGUAGGUGGAGAAGAAGCACCGGCCAACUACGUGCCAGCAGCCGCGGUAAUACGUAGGGUGCGAGCGUUGUCCGGAAUUACUGGGCGUAAAGAGCUCGUAGGUGGUUUGUCGCGUUGUCCGUGAAAUUCCCUGGCUUAACUGGGGGCGUGCGGGCGAUACGGGCAGACUGGAGUACUGCAGGGGAGGCUGGAAUUCCUGGUGUAGCGGUGGAAUGCGCAGAUAUCAGGAGGAACACCGGUGGCGAAGGCGGGUCUCUGGGCAGUAACUGACGCUGAGGAGCGAAAGCGUGGGGAGCGAACAGGAUUAGAUACCCUGGUAGUCCACGCCGUAAACGGUGGGUACUAGGUGUGGGUUUCCUUCCUUGGGAUCCGUGCCGUA
Molecule: ribosomal RNA, 605 nt
Filed under: uncultured bacterium
Lineage: Bacteria
Description: bacterial SSU rRNA
Rfam family: Bacterial small subunit ribosomal RNA
Source: RNAcentral